AACGCACCUUGCGCCCUCUGGUAUUCCGGAGGGCAUGCCUGUCUGAGUGUCGCGCACCUCUCAACCCAUCCGGUUCGUCCGCUGGGCUUGGAACGUGGCCGGCGGGCGCUCGAUACAGAGCGCCCCGGCCGAAAUGUAUGCGGAGCGCCAAUCUCGCACCGUUACGCGGUCUAUCCGAGCGUUGUAGACCCCUCGCUCGGGAUCGCUGGCGGAUACGUGGCUCCCACUGCCGAAAGGCCCUGACUAUCGACCUCAGAUCAAGCAGGACUACCCGCUGAACUUAA
This 284-nucleotide unclassified non-coding RNA is filed under the name Orbilia sp. RNAcentral describes it as "partial contains 5.8S ribosomal RNA, internal transcribed spacer 2, and large subunit ribosomal RNA". The stretch from base 1 to 52 matches the Rfam family "5.8S ribosomal RNA", at positions 103 to 154 of the family's 154-position model. The record is from RNAcentral. Lineage: Eukaryota; Fungi; Ascomycota; Orbiliomycetes; Orbiliales; Orbiliaceae.